GACGAACGCUGGCGGCGUGCUUAACACAUGCAAGUCGAACGGUAAGGCCCUUCGGGGUACACGAGUGGCGAACGGGUGAGUAACACGUGGGUGAUCUGCCCUGCACUUCGGGAUAAGCCUGGGAAACUGGGUCUAAUACCGGAUAGGACUCCGGACUGCAUGGUCUGGGGUGGAAAGCUUUUGCGGUGUGGGAUGGGCCCGCGGCCUAUAAGCUUGUUGGUGGGGUGAUGGCCUACCAAGGCGACGCCGGGUAGCCGGCCUGAGAGGGUGACCGGCCACACUGGGACUGAGAUACGGCCCAGACUCCUACGGGAGGCAGCAGUGGGGAAUAUUGCACAAUGGGCGCAAGCCUGAUGCAGCGACGCCGCGUGAGGGAUGACGGCCUUCGGGUUGUAAACCUCUUUCAGCAUCGACGAAGCGAAAGUGACGGUAGGUGCAGAAGAAGGACCGGCCAACUACGUGCCAGCCGCCGCAGUAA
RNAcentral lists this ribosomal RNA (478 nucleotides) under uncultured bacterium. RNAcentral's name for it is "partial 16S ribosomal RNA". It matches the Rfam family "Bacterial small subunit ribosomal RNA", at positions 28 to 523 of the family's 1533-position model. The record is from RNAcentral.